Molecule: ribosomal RNA, 255 nt
Filed under: Prochlorococcus sp. MED-G73
Lineage: Bacteria; Bacillati; Cyanobacteriota; Cyanophyceae; Synechococcales; Prochlorococcaceae
Description: partial 16S ribosomal RNA
Rfam family: Bacterial small subunit ribosomal RNA
Source: RNAcentral
AACGGAGAGUUUGAUCCUGGCUCAGGAUGAACGCUGGCGGCGUGCUUAACACAUGCAAGUCGAACGAACCUUCGGGUUAGUGGCGGACGGGUGAGUAACGCGUGAGAAUCUGCCCUCAGGAGGGGGAUAACGGUUGGAAACGACCGCUAAUACCCCAUAUGCCGCGAGGUGAAAUGAAUUUCGCCUGAGGAUGAGCUCGCGUCUGAUUAGCUAGUUGGUGGGGUAAAGGCCUACCAAGGCAUCGAUCAGUAGCUG